GACGGGGAGCAGCAGGCGCGAAAACUUCGCAAUGUGCGAAAGCGCGACGAGGUUAAUCCGAGUGCCGCCCGCUGAGGGCGGCUUUUCUUAGGUGUAAAUGGUCUGAGGAAUAAGGGGAGGGAAAGCCUGGUGUCAGCCGCCGCGGUAAUACCAGCUCCCCGAGUGGUCGGGACGUUUAUUGGGCCUAAAGCAUCCGUAGCCCGCCCUGUUGGUCCCAGGUUAAAUCCAAUCGCUCAACGAUUGGGCCGCAUGGGAUACCGCAGGGCUAGGAGGCGGGAGAGGCGGACGGUACUCCGCGGGUAGGGGUAAAAUCCACUGAUCCGCGGAAGAACACCAGUGGCGAAAGCGGUCCGCCAGAACGCGCUCGACGGUGAGGGAUGAAAGCUGGGGGAGCGAACCGGAUUAGAUACCCGGGUAUUCCAGCUGUAAACGAUGCGAGCUAAGUGAUGGAGUGGCUACGUGCCAUUCCAAUGCCGCAGGGAAACCGUUUAGCUCGCCGCCUGGGGAGUACGGUCNCNAAGCUNNAAAUUAAANGAAUNUGGGGGGGGAGCNCNAUCUNUANAAGAUUCCCCNGGUA
RNAcentral lists this ribosomal RNA (577 nucleotides) under uncultured archaeon. RNAcentral describes it as "bacterial SSU rRNA". It matches the Rfam family "Archaeal small subunit ribosomal RNA", at positions 324 to 903 of the family's 1478-position model. The record is from RNAcentral.